AUUGAACGCUGGCGGCAGGCCUAACACAUGCAAGUCGAACGGUAACAGGAAGCAGCUUGCUGCUUUGCUGACGAGUGGCGGACGGGUGAGUAAUGUCUGUGAAACUGCCUGAUGGAGGGGGAUAACUACUGGAAACGGUAGCUAAUACCGCAUAACGUCGCAAGACCAAAGAGGGGGACCUUCGGGCCUCUUGCCAUCGGAUGUGCCCAGAUGGGAUUAGCUAGUAGGUGGGGUAACGGCUCACCUAGGCGACGAUCCCUAGCUGGUCUGAGAGGAUGACCAGCCACACUGGAACUGAGACACGGUCCAGACUCCUACGGGAGGCAGCAGUGGGGAAUAUUGCACAAUGGGCGCAAGCCUGAUGCAGCCAUGCCGCGUGUAUGAAGAAGGCCUUCGGGUUGUAAAGUACUUUCAGCGGGGAGGAAGGGAGUAAAGUUAAUACCUUUGCUCAUUGACGUUACCCGCAGAAGAAGCACCGGCUAACUCCGUG
RNAcentral lists this ribosomal RNA (490 nucleotides) under uncultured bacterium. RNAcentral's name for it is "partial 16S ribosomal RNA". It matches the Rfam family "Bacterial small subunit ribosomal RNA", at positions 30 to 507 of the family's 1533-position model. The record is from RNAcentral.